This 868-nucleotide ribosomal RNA is filed under the name uncultured archaeon. RNAcentral's name for it is "bacterial SSU rRNA". It matches the Rfam family "Archaeal small subunit ribosomal RNA", at positions 1 to 878 of the family's 1478-position model. The record is from RNAcentral.
CUCCGGUGAUCCUGCCGGACCUGACUGCUAUCGGAUUGGUACUAAGCCAUGCGAGUCGUUGUAGCAAUACAAGGCGGACGGCUCAGUAACACGUAGUCAACCUAACCUAUGGACGUGGAUAACCUCGGGAAACUGAGAAUAAACCGCGAUAGAUCAUUAUGCCUGGAAUGGCUUAUGGUUCAAACAAUUUAUUGCCGUAGGAUGGGACUGCGGCCUAUCAGCUUGUUGGUGAGGUAAUGGCCCACCAAGGCUAUAACAGGUACGGGCUCUGAGAGGAGAAGCCCGGAGAUGGGUACUGAGACACGGACCCAGGCCCUAUGGGGCGCAGCAGGCGAGAAACCUUAGCAAUGUGCGAAAGCACGACUAGGUUAAUCCGAGUGAUUUCUGUUGAAGAAAUCUUUUGUCAGUCGUAAAACCACAGACGAAUAAGGGGUGGGCAAGUCUGGUGUCAGCCGCCGCGGUAAUACCAGCACCUCGAGUGGUCAGGAGGUUUAUUGGGCCUAAAGCAUCCGUAGCCGGCUACGCAAGUCUCCGGUUAAAUCCAGCUGCUCAACAGAUGGGCUGCCGGAGAUACUACAUAGCUAGGGAGCGGGAGAGGUAGACGGUAUUCUGUGGGUAGGGGUAAAAUCCACUGAUCCAUAGAGGACCACCAGUGGCGAAGGCGGUCUACCAGAACGCGUUCGACGGUGAGGGAUGAAAGCUGGGGGAGCAAACCGGAUUAGAUACCCGGGUAGUCCCAGCUGUAAACGAUGCAAACUCGGUGAUGCAUUGGCUUAUGGCCAAUGCAGUGCCGCAGGGAAGCCGUUAAGUUUGCCGCCUGGGAAGUACGGACGCAAGUCUGAAACUUAAAGGAAUUGGCGGGGGAGCA